GCAAACUUGGUCAUUUAGAGGAAGUAAAAGUCGUAACAAGGUCUCCGUAGGUGAACCUGCGGAGGGAUCAUUACCGAGUCCGCCCCCGGGCGCGCCUCCCACCCAAUGCUAUCGAUACCCUGUUGCCUUGGCGGGCCGGCCGCUAGCCCCGCCUAGCGAGUGCCCGCCGGAGGCCCCGCAGACCCUCGGUGUCGGUGUCGUCCGAGUCCUGUAUAACAGUCAAAACUUUCAACAACGGAUCUCUUGGUUCUGGCAUCGAUGAAGAACGCAGC
This 272-nucleotide unclassified non-coding RNA is filed under the name uncultured fungus. RNAcentral describes it as "partial contains small subunit ribosomal RNA, internal transcribed spacer 1, and 5.8S ribosomal RNA". The stretch from base 1 to 73 matches the Rfam family "Eukaryotic small subunit ribosomal RNA", at positions 1759 to 1831 of the family's 1831-position model. The record is from RNAcentral. Lineage: Eukaryota; Fungi.